UCCAUGCAUGUACAGGACAGGCUGCUCUGGAGGUGGGACCAUGCCAGCAGCCCUAUGCUGAGUGUUAACACCCCAAGGAGGGGAAGAAACUACACCAUGUCCUGGGUGCCUGUAUGGGAAAUGCCUUUAAAUCACUCUUGCUCCUUUCCCUGGAGCAAAGAGGUUGGUUGAGAGAGUUCUGAGAGCUCCACUCCUGUGAAUGUCAACAGUCCUUCAAGAAAGAGGACCCAGAUUGCUGGAAAGGUUUAUCUGGACCAGAGCCUACUCCUGGCCGAGAUCUGAAAGAGCUCAGGGAAGAUGCUCUUCCAAGUGCCCUAGGACAGUCUGCCAGGAAAGGACAUCUCCAUCCCAGGAAAGGAAAGGUUCCUAGAGCACGUGGAUCUGUUCUUCCAUGCUGCAUUUGGCGUAGGAGAGCUUUGAUCCUUUGGAAACACAGCAAUAAACCUUUUGGUGUUGUUCCUUCUUGACUUCUGAGACUGACUCCAACAUCUGACAUCAAGAGAGAUGAUGUUCAUCCAUCUGCAGAAGGCCUGUACAUCAACAAAAGCUAGGUUCUAUAUAGUUACUGGUCAUUCUCCUAUCCAUUACUUCAUUCUAACCAUGCUACUUCUGAACAUGCUUGUCUCUGAAAGCAAUUAUGGACUUGCUGGAUGGUAAAGCUGUUGAAGGGGUAUAUUCCCACUUCCCUUCCAAAUACAACCAGCCAUGACCAGGAUGUGCUCUGCUAGAAUAAAACUGGCCGACUCCCAUCAAAAUCUCCAAGCUGUGCAAGUUCACACCAUACAGCUCUUCAGUCUCAGUUUCUGAGUCCAUUUCUGAGCACGAGAGGGAAAAACAACACACAAAUGCGGAAUCCCAGUUACUGCUAGGAAGUUUAAAUUGAAAGUUGAAGCUAAAAUUGCUUGUUAUUACUGGAAAUAUUUGAAUUGUCUUAGUGAGGAGGUUUUUUCAUGUUAAUGGGGUAUCUUUGGUUCAUGCUAUCUUUGUUCCGAUAUGUUUGUUGUGUAACUGGUUUUUGCACGUACUGUAUUUUGAUACAAAUUGUCUAGCACUACAACUAUCAUAAAUGGUCAUCACAGUAAACAAAGCCCAGUCACUGAAUGCUGGGUGAAAGGAGCACAUUAGCAAUAAGACAGCUGACAGAGGAAGAGACAGUGUGAGACUGCAGCCUUGAAGCGUGUCACUGACUUCAGGCAAUGCAGAUCAGCAGGAGAUAGGACUGCAGCAGAUGGUCUGAGUUUGAUUAAUCAAAUGUCCUGAAUUAAAGCCUGAUUGUAUUUAUUAAAAAAAAAAAAAAUUAAAGGCUGAAAAGUCAA
Numida meleagris (helmeted guineafowl) is the source of this 1316-nucleotide long non-coding RNA. RefSeq lists it as uncharacterized. Lineage: Eukaryota; Metazoa; Chordata; Aves; Galliformes; Numididae. The transcript has 5 exons. The record is from RefSeq and is a predicted model, not a curated record.